UACAGAGGGGGCAAGCGUUGUUCGGAAUUACUGGGCGUAAAGGGCGCGUAGGCGGCCGCCUAAGUCAGACGUGAAAUCCCUCGGCUCAACCGGGGAACUGCGUCUGAUACUGGGUGGCUUGAAUCCGGGAGAGGGAUGCGGAAUUCCAGGUGUAGCGGUGAAAUGCGUAGAUAUCGGGAGGAACACCCGUAGCGAAGGCGGCACUCUGGGCCGGAACUGACGCUGAGGAGCGAAAGCGUGGGGAGCAAACAGG
This 253-nucleotide ribosomal RNA is filed under the name uncultured bacterium. RNAcentral describes it as "partial 16S ribosomal RNA". It matches the Rfam family "Bacterial small subunit ribosomal RNA", at positions 524 to 776 of the family's 1533-position model. The record is from RNAcentral.